Molecule: ribosomal RNA, 1402 nt
Filed under: uncultured bacterium
Lineage: Bacteria
Description: partial 16S ribosomal RNA
Rfam family: Bacterial small subunit ribosomal RNA
Source: RNAcentral
AGAGUUUGAUCCUGGCUCAGGAUGAACGCUAGCGACAGGCUUAACACAUGCAAGUCGAGGGGCAGCAGGGGAGUAGCAAUACUCCCGCUGGCGACCGGCGCACGGGUGAGUAACACGUAUGCAACCUGCCCUUGUCAGGGGGAUAAGCGGAAGAAAUUCCGUCUAAUACCGCAUAAUGCUGCGGGGAGACAUCUCCCUGCAGCCAAAGAUUUAUCGGACAAGGAUGGGCAUGCGGCGCAUUAGCUUGUUGGCGGGGUAACGGCCCACCAAGGCGACGAUGCGUAGGGGUUCUGAGAGGAAGGCCCCCCACACUGGUACUGAGACACGGACCAGACUCCUACGGGAGGCAGCAGUGAGGAAUAUUGGUCAAUGGCCGGGAGGCUGAACCAGCCAAGUCGCGUGAGGGAAGACGGUCCUAUGGAUUGUAAACCUCUUUUGUCAGGGAGCAAAAACUGCCACGUGUGGCAGGAUGAGAGUACCUGAAGAAAAAGCAUCGGCUAACUCCGUGCCAGCAGCCGCGGUAAUACGGAGGAUGCGAGCGUUAUCCGGAUUUAUUGGGUUUAAAGGGUGCGUAGGCGGACAGUUAAGUCAGCGGUAAAAUUGAGAGGCUCAACCUCUUCCCGCCGUUGAAACUGAUUGUCUUGAGUGGGCGAGAAGUAUGCGGAAUGCGUGGUGUAGCGGUGAAAUGCAUAGAUAUCACGCAGAACUCCGAUUGCGAAGGCAGCAUACCGGCGCCCAACUGACGCUGAAGCACGAAAGCGUGGGUAUCGAACAGGAUUAGAUACCCUGGUAGUCCACGCAGUAAACGAUGAAUACUAAUUGUUCGGGUCAAAUGAGAUCUGAGUGAUACAGCGAAAGCGUUAAGUAUUCCACCUGGGGAGUACGCCGGCAACGGUGAAACUCAAAGGAAUUGACGGGGGCCCGCACAAGCGGAGGAACAUGUGGUUUAAUUCGAUGAUACGCGAGGAACCUUACCCGGGCUCAAACGACACAGGAAUGAUCUGAGAAAUCAGGCAGUCCUCCGGGACCUGUGUCGAGGUGCUGCAUGGUUGUCGUCAGCUCGUGCCGUGAGGUGUCGGCUUAAGUGCCAUAACGAGCGCAACCCCCAUCGACAGUUGCCAGCAGGUCAAGCUGGGCACUCUGUCGAGACUGCCGGCGCAAGCUGUGAGGAAGGCGGGGAUGACGUCAAAUCAGCACGGCCCUUACGUCCGGGGCGACACACGUGUUACAAUGGCAGGUACAGCGGGAAGCCACCUGGCGACAGGGAGCGGAACCCGAAAGCCUGUCUCAGUUCGGAUUGGAGUCUGCAACUCGACUCCAUGAAGCUGGAUUCGCUAGUAAUCGCGCAUCAGCCACGGCGCGGUGAAUACGUUCCCGGGCCUUGCACACACCGCCCGUCAAG